GAGUUUGAUCCUGGCUCAGGAUGAACGCUGGCGGCGUGCCUAAUACAUGCAAGUCGAGCGAACGGACGAGAAGCUUGCUUCUCUGAUGUUAGCGGCGGACGGGUGAGUAACACGUGGAUAACCUACCUAUAAGACUGGGAUAACUUCGGGAAACCGGAGCUAAUACCGGAUAAUAUUUUGAACCGCAUGGUUCAAAAGUGAAAGACGGUCUUGCUGUCACUUAUAGAUGGAUCCGCGCUGCAUUAGCUAGUUGGUAAGGUAACGGCUUACCAAGGCAACGAUGCAUAGCCGACCUGAGAGGGUGAUCGGCCACACUGGAACUGAGACACGGUCCAGACUCCUACGGGAGGCAGCAGUAGGGAAUCUUCCGCAAUGGGCGAAAGCCUGACGGAGCAACGCCGCGUGAGUGAUGAAGGUCUUCGGAUCGUAAAACUCUGUUAUUAGGGAAGAACAUAUGUGUAAGUAACUGUGCACAUCUUGACGGUACCUAAUCAGAAAGCCACGGCUAACUACGUGCCAGCAGCCGCGGUAAUACGUAGGUGGCAAGCGUUAUCCGGAAUUAUUGGGCGUAAAGCGCGCGUAGGCGGUUUUUUAAGUCUGAUGUGAAAGCCCACGGCUCAACCGUGGAGGGUCAUUGGAAACUGGAAAACUUGAGUGCAGAAGAGGAAAGUGGAAUUCCAUGUGUAGCGGUGAAAUGCGCAGAGAUAUGGAGGAACACCAGUGGCGAAGGCGACUUUCUGGUCUGUAACUGACGCUGAUGUGCGAAAGCGUGGGGAUCAAACAGGAUUAGAUACCCUGGUAGUCCACGCCGUAAACGAUGAGUGCUAAGUGUUAGGGGGUUUCCGCCCCUUAGUGCUGCAGCUAACGCAUUAAGCACUCCGCCUGGGGAGUACGACCGCAAGGUUGAAACUCAAAGGAAUUGACGGGGACCCGCACAAGCGGUGG
This 945-nucleotide ribosomal RNA is filed under the name Staphylococcus aureus subsp. aureus SA8601. Its description in RNAcentral is "bacterial SSU rRNA". It matches the Rfam family "Bacterial small subunit ribosomal RNA", at positions 9 to 935 of the family's 1533-position model. The record is from RNAcentral. Lineage: Bacteria; Bacillati; Bacillota; Bacilli; Caryophanales; Staphylococcaceae.